GAGCCAAAGCAAAGGCUCUGGGAGGGCCUUUAAUGGUUUUUCAGAGCAGGGCUGUCUGGAAACUCCCACUGCAGGGGCAGCUGUGAGGGAACCAGUCCAGAAAUGCAGCAACUGAUCAUUUUGUUCCUCUUGGUAAGUGUCUGAGAGAGCCCCAGCACUACUGCAAAUCCCACACCACUCUGCUCAGCAACCUGACUUGGACCCUCCUCGUUGAACAAAACCUGCAGCCUUCUGAAAUCUCAUGGAAAGAAUGCUUUGGCUCAGGCUGUGGCCAUCAGAUAAGAGGUGUCCCAAAAGCUCCUCCAUCCCUGCCCUCCUCACCUGAGGGUUUGCAGGAAUUAAGGGAUAAAGACACCAGAGAUGCCGCUGUGGCCCCGAGACCUGCCUGGGGUCAGGCGCCGCCUUCCUUCCAUCUGGGAUCAUGGAAUGUUCCCACUUUCCUUGGAAGAUAUUUCUCACUGAAAUGAAUUGCCAAAUCCUGAGUUUCAGUGUGGAUGAGACAGAUACGCCAAGAGAAGACAGGGUCAGGGACUUGGCCACCUCAUGCUUUGCCUUUUAAGCCAGCUGGGCCAACAAGUGCCCUCUCCCCAGCUGGCACUUCUGCUCACCUGGCCACUCAGGAGCUGGCUUUGGCAGAGUGCCACACACUCCCCAGUGUGCCAUGGCUCGCAGACUGAUGGACAGUCGAGGCCCUGUCUCACCCCUGGCACACAUAGCUGUUCCAAAAUGUCUCCAGACAUCACACUUUUCCAGUCUCUGACACCCUGCCCUGAGCCAUGGCCUGAUCCCGACUGCCCUGGCAAAGGGGGAGGCUCUGGAACCCCCACAGGGCCUUUGUGACAUCCUUGUGUGGGGAUCACGGCAGAGGAGGGGUUUGGUACAGGGGACAAGAGAAUCCAGAACCUCCUGAAGGCUGCUUUGGCCAUCAGAGCAAGGAAGGCCCAGAGCCCUGCCAGGUUCCUUUGGUGGAGGAAACAUGCUGGGGGAAAUGUCUGGGGUUUGUUCUUUUUUGGUGGCUUUCCCUGGAAAUAGUUCCUUCUGUGGUAAUUUAGACUCUGAAUAUUUUUGA
This is a long non-coding RNA of Haemorhous mexicanus (house finch), 1069 nucleotides long. RefSeq lists it as uncharacterized. The transcript has 3 exons. NCBI's taxonomy places the organism in Eukaryota, Metazoa, Chordata, Aves, Passeriformes, Fringillidae. The record is from RefSeq and is a predicted model, not a curated record.